Molecule: small nuclear RNA, 105 nt
Filed under: Castor canadensis (American beaver)
Lineage: Eukaryota; Metazoa; Chordata; Mammalia; Rodentia; Castoridae
Source: RNAcentral
GUGCUCACUUCAGCAGCACAUAUAUGAAAGUCAGAAUCGAAACAGAGAUUAGCAUGACCUCUGCACAGGGAUGACACACAAAUUCCUAAAGUGUUCCAUAUUUUU